Unclassified non-coding RNA from Pongo abelii (Sumatran orangutan), 117 nucleotides. It matches the Rfam family "Metazoan signal recognition particle RNA". From Rfam's summary of the family: The signal recognition particle (SRP) is a universally conserved ribonucleoprotein. It is involved in the co-translational targeting of proteins to membranes. The record is from Ensembl. Lineage: Eukaryota; Metazoa; Chordata; Mammalia; Primates; Hominidae.
GCCGGGCGCGGUGGCUCACGCCUGUAAUCCCAGCACUUUGGGAGGCCGAGGUGGGCGGAUCACCUGAGGUCAGGAGUUCGAGACCAGCCUGGCCAACAUGGUGAAACCCCGUCUCUA